This 402-nucleotide ribosomal RNA is filed under the name uncultured bacterium. Its description in RNAcentral is "partial 16S ribosomal RNA". It matches the Rfam family "Bacterial small subunit ribosomal RNA", at positions 355 to 752 of the family's 1533-position model. The record is from RNAcentral.
UGGGGAAUAUUGCACAAUGGGCGCAAGCCUGAUGCAGCCAUGCCGCGUGUGUGAAGAAGGCCUUCGGGUUGUAAGCACUUUCAGCGAGGAGGAAGGUGGUGAACUUAAUACGUUCAUCAAUUGACGUUACUCGCAGAAGAAGCACCGGCUAACUCCGUGCCAGCAGCCGCGGUAAUACGGAGGGUGCAAGCGUUAAUCGGAAUUACUGGGCGUAAAGCGCACGCAGGCGGUUUGUUAAGUCAGAUGUGAAAUCCCCGGGCUCAACCUGGGAACUGCAUUUGAAACUGCAAGCUAGAGUCUCGUAGAGGGGGUAGAAUUCCAGGUGUAGCGGUGAAAUGCGUAGAGAUCUGGAGGAAUACCGGUGGCGAAGGCGGCCCCCUGGACGAAGACUGACGCUCAGGU